This is a long non-coding RNA of Coregonus clupeaformis (lake whitefish), 3076 nucleotides long. RefSeq lists it as uncharacterized. The transcript has 4 exons. The record is from RefSeq and is a predicted model, not a curated record. Lineage: Eukaryota; Metazoa; Chordata; Actinopteri; Salmoniformes; Salmonidae.
UUUUCACUGUUUGCAAUGUAAAAAUUAUAAUAAAAGCAAUCAGAGUUAGGCUAAUUCAAGUUGACUCCUCUGUAAUUCUCCUGGUUGCCCCCUAAAAAACGUAAUGUGAAAACGUGCCUGAUAAUUGAUUCGUGUUUGGCCGGACCGGAUUUAUGAUUUGCCCAACAUUGUAGCCUUUACAAUAUAGACCAACGCGUGGUCAUUGCUGUGGUGAGCGAGAGAGAAGCGCGCCUGUAUCUCGCACAGAACUAGAAUAGGAUUCACUUUCUUUGAUAUCUCCCCUCUCUCUACUCUAAUAGACAUGAGCCUGCAACUCUCAUCUCUCCAGCGUUGCACUUCAUCAUUUAUUUCCUUAUAGAAUCAUAGCAGCGCGAAGGGUUGGAGGCGCCGCAGCAGCACCCCUGAUAAAUAGAAAUACAUUUGCCAAAGUUAUAGAAUUACUGCUGUCUGUUCAGACAGAAAUGAAAUAACGCCGAAUACUACACCAGGAGUAACUUAGCCACAGAUGAUCAAUAGUUUAUUUGAAAAAAAUUGCCUAGCUGUGGAUUGUGUGUAGCCCAAUCACGAGGCAUGACUACAGUCGGGAACGCGCGGAAGAGCAGCUUCAGCAAACCACAGAGCCACAGGAGGCCUUCAUUCACGAUGAUGAACCAUCUGAGAGUGUCUAAACCAGAGGCUGAUAGGGACUGGUUUCUCAGGUCUUUGCACAGGUGGCUGUAACCGGAGGAACCUACCCUGGCCUCUCCCCCAUGAUCAUCAUGAACAACAUCCUCCUAAAUCAGAGGUGAGCAGUUGCCAGGGUGACAACGACAGCUGCCAAGAUGGCCUCUCCACAGACAACCACAAAGUGAAACGCUUCUGCAACACCUACAACAUCCUCAACAACUCUGGAUUGCUUGGCAUAGCGCUGCGCACCAAGGAGCUGAUCAGGCAGAACCGGUGCACCCAGGGCCAGAUGCAGCAGCUGCAGGAGCAGACAGAUCUGUUUUUGGAGGCCUUGGGCAGUGGUGUCCCCCUGGUCUAGGCUCCAGCAGCAAGACACAGGCUCUGCCAGGGCAGGGGAGGGGCAGUGUCAGGCCAUGGAUCCACAGGGUAUCCUGGCAUAAGACACUAGCAGAAGGAGGGGAACGCAUCAUAAGCACCUGCUGUAAACCAGUACAAAUUGAGAAACACACUUAACCUUUGAACCCUUGCCUAUAAUCAGUGUUCUGUCCAAAUAGCAAGUACUGCUUGCAAUAGGGAUAUGGCUUCUAGAUGAAUACAUCUACCAAUGCAUGAAGCACAUGCAUGGAAUAGAUAUGGAUAAAUUGUAUAAUUAAUUCCUCAUCCAUACCUGUCCAGAACAGUAACUAAUCUAUUAUGAACAAUUAAAAAAAAAAAAAAAAAGUAUGGCAACAAUAGUCAUUUUUGGGUCCAAAAUGUAAAGAUUGUCUAAGUAGACCAGACAUUAGAGUUGUGUAUAUUUUAAAUUGCUUUAAAAACAUUAACCAAUGAGAAGCAAUUGGGAAGAGCUAUUAAAUAUUUCAUUAGUGAUCUUAUUUAAUCAGACAAUAUUGUAGCUAGCCUAGCAAUAUGUCCUCUUCAGUAUUUUUCUGUCUACUAGAGCAGCGUUAGAUUGUAUAUUACUCAUUGUGAUUUUUCAGAGGGCUGUACAUACAUUUUUGUAUUAUUAUUCUAAUGUACAUCUAGUGAAAUAAGGCCUGGUUGUUGAUUAUGCUAUUUAUUUUCAACCUAGCUUUGAAUUAGGACAACAUCAAGAACUGAGUCGAGUAAAGUUAAACACAUAGUUACAAUGCACCUUCUAUGAAUUAAAUACAUAAAAUUGAGUUCCUGUUCAAUACAAUAAAUGAUAGCUACUGAAGUGCCUGCACCCUUCUUAUCUAUGUUAUUGAAAUAAUUACUUGCAUAAUAGUUUGUAAUAUAUAUGACAUCAUGAUAUUUAAUUCAACAUUUUAGGUGAAAAACCCACCAAUGGUUGCUGGCUAAUAAAAAUUUUCAUACUGUUUUUCACUCAGAUCUGACUGGAGCCAGAUGGCUGAUGAAAAGUAGCAUUGUGUUGAUUAGUAUCUCUCUUAAUCAAACUACUUCUCCACAUAUUGUGCAUAACACACAGAAAUAUAUUUUUAAUAUUUUAAGUUAUUACUAGUCAGCUCGUUUGUAAUUUACUAGAAUCAGACUCUUUGUGCGAAAGUGUCUUCAGCAAAAGCAGCUUUCUUGUUUUAAAGGACUUUACUCAAACAUUAAUUUAGGGGGAGGGGUGAUGCAGUGCAUUUUAGGGCCUUUGUGCUUGAUACAAUCAAAGUAAAAUGUGUUGGAAUGUAUCGUAUUUAUUUUCAAAUGCUAUUAGAAACUACUUCUUAUUCUAAGAUUAUAUUUUAAAUGUGUUUUCUUAAUGCUUGAAUGCAAGUUCCAUGUAUGAUUUUCAUUGUUUUUCUUUCUUUGUGUAUUGGCCAAUUAUUUUAUAUUGCCUGUAAAAUGCUCUUAGUUCUUCAACUUUAACAAGAAGAGAAACUUAAAACUACUGCCAAAUGUCAGUCAUACAUGGGUAUGUCCCUUGAAUUACAAAAUCCUAAAAUGUAAUGCUCUUAUGGGUUUGUCCAGUGUGAUUAGAAUGAUAUUAGUUACAGUAGCUCUUACUUGACUGUAAAUCUAUUUACUAGAAUGUAGCAUUUGCUGAUAAAGUAUGUUUGUCUUACAAGUGAUGUGGGUACUAAUAAUUAAUUCAUCAAUGUUACAAUGACUCUAAAAGGUUUAGGUACAAGCAACACUUUGAUUGGCUCUUUAAUAGUAAUACAGUAACUAGCUUUGUUUGUGUGUAUAUAGUGUGUUUUUGUUGCAAGACAUCAGCGAUUUGGAAGUAUUGAUUCGUUAUCAAAAUUGGUAUGACAAAAUACUGCAAUCAGCAGUACAAAGUAAAUGUAAUUAUUUGCUACAUUAGCAUAUAGCUUUGGAGAAUGGCACAAAGACAUGCUGUUAUUUUACUCAUCAUUUACUGAAGUGCACUUUUGUACUUUUUAAAACAAAGAUAAUUUGCAUUGACAUGGUUGCUUAAUAAACAAAGUGGUUUAGAAAUUCA